Molecule: long non-coding RNA, 2047 nt
Organism: Homo sapiens (human)
Lineage: Eukaryota; Metazoa; Chordata; Mammalia; Primates; Hominidae
Product: long intergenic non-protein coding RNA 963
Source: Ensembl
GCUUUCAACUCUCUGAACUUCGGUUCCUCAUCUGCCAGUUGGCAGACGCUCAGCAAAUCUUCCUAGACUCACGGGGCGAAUUGUACAGUUGGGUAAAUCGAGGCCCAGAGAUGGCAAAAGGACCGUCCAAGGUCGUACAGCCACCCGGAAUUACAAUUCUUUUCUGCCGGGUCACACGCUGUCAUCCACGUGUUACCUAAGAGAGCUUUCCAGCCUGUGCUAAGAAAACUGCCCCACAUCAUCUGCAGUAGGACGGGGGAGUUGGAGCCCUGGUCAGGCCACUCUGCUACUGACCACAGUUUUCUCAUCUCUAAAAAGGCGCAGUAACAAUAUAAUUACCGUAUGCAGUCCCCCAGGAUACAGGGUCAAAGGAGAGCACAACCAUCGCAGUUGGAAGCCCAUGGGGCAGAAGCAAGGUCUCGCUGUGUUACCCUGGCUGGAGUGCAGUGGCUACUUACAGGCAUGAUCAUAGCAUACUGCAGCCUCGAACUCCUGGACUAGAGCAGUUCUCCUGCCUCAGCCUCCAGAGCAGCUGGGACUGCAGACACGCACCACAGAGCCCAGCCUGAGUCAUUUUGAUUCUGUAACUGGCUUCCUCUCGGCGGGCAGGCUCACACCCUCCACCCCCAGCUGGAGAUGGAAGGAGGAUGCUCACCGCCCAUUCCUCAUGCAGGCCAUCGAUGGAAAUGUCAGACAGUGCGAGUCCACGCCUGAACACUUCUGGGGUCCGCUCUGGGACUGACACUGGCAGAUCCAUCGGUGAGCUCCCGCCUGCCACCUCUGGGCCUGCAUUGCGGUGAUAGGGCCAAGGGCCUGGGCCUUCAAUUCUCCAGACUUGCCAAAAUGCUCAGCGCAGGCCUCGUCGGCAACUGCAGACAAGCAGAGGCAGCACCUGGGCUCUGCCUGUGCCUGGCACAGUGAAGCGAGGGUGGGGGCAGGAAUGAGGGUCCUCUCCAUGCAAGGGGGGAAGAUAGAAGAACAAAAUUUCACCCUAAUGUAGUGUCUUUAGACCGUGCAAUGUUGUGCUCCUGUUAGUCUGAUAUCAGGGGCUUGCAGCCUGGCAAAGGAAAAAAAACAGGCUGAGGCACAUGAUAGAAGACAGGCAGGGAUGCCACAAUCAUAACCAUGGCAAAGACCAGGAUCAGAAAGGCCCACCAUCUCUGACCCCAAAUCCCUGGGCAGAUGGUUCCAGAACUCAGAAUUUUCCCAGUUGUAGAAAGAUGGGGCCAGGUGCAGUGGCUCACGCCUGUAAUCCCAGCAUUUUGGGAGUACAAGGUGAUCCGCCUGCCUUGGCCUGCGAUAAAAUUGCACAGAAGUAAAUACACACACGUGAGGAUACGGAAAACCGGGGAAACCUGAGCAAGAGCAGUCAGACCCCGGCUGUGAUGGCGCCCAGUAGUUCUGCGAGAUGUUACCAUUGGGGAAACUGAGUGAAGGCGGGUACCUGGGAUCCCUCUGUUUUCUUUUUUGUUGUUGUUGUUAUUUUGAGAUGAAGUUUCCCUCUUGUUGCCCAGGCUGGGUGAUCCACCUGCCUCGGCCUCCCAAAGUGCUGGGAUUACACGCGUGAGCCACUGUGCCCAGCCUCUCUGUUUUAUUUCUUCUUUUUUUUUUUUUUUUUUUGGAGACGCUCUGUCGCCCAGGCUGGAGUGCAGUGGCACGAUAUUGGCUCACUGCAAGCUCCGCCUCCUGGGUUCACACCAUUCUCCUGCCUCAGCCUCCCGAGUAGCUGGGACUACAGGCGCCCGCCACCUCGCCCGUCUAAUUUUUUGUAUUUUUAGUAGAGGCGGGGCUUCACCGUGUUAGCCAGGAUGGUCUCAAUCUCCUGACCUCGUCAUCCGCCCGUCUCGGCCUCCCAUAGUGCUGGGAUUACAGGCAUGAGCCACCACGCCCGGCUGUUUUAUUUCUUAUAACUGUACAGGAAUCUACAAUGAUUGUAACAAAAAUUUCAAUUAAGGCCACUCUAGGCACAUGGCCUGUGGGGUAGCCCUGCUCAACAAGAAGCCGUCAAAAAAAUGUUUUUUAAUUAAAAAAUUUCUUCAAUUAAAAA